Molecule: ribosomal RNA, 482 nt
Filed under: uncultured bacterium
Lineage: Bacteria
Description: partial 16S ribosomal RNA
Rfam family: Bacterial small subunit ribosomal RNA
Source: RNAcentral
GAUGAACGCUAGCGGCAGGCCUAAUACAUGCAAGUCGGACGGGAUUCAGGAGCUUGCUUCUGAUGAGAGUGGCGCACGGGUGCGUAACACGUAUGUAACCUACCUUUAUCAGGGGGAUAGCCUCUCGAAAGAGAGAUUAAGCCCGCAUAAAAUCACAGCACAGCAUUGUGUAAUUAUCAAAUAUUUAUAGGAUAAAGAUGGGCAUGCGGAACAUUAGCUAGAUGGCGGGGUAACGGCCCACCAUGGCGACGAUGUUUAGGGGAUCUGAGAGGAUGGCCCCCCACACUGGUACUGAGACACGGACCAGACUCCUACGGGAGGCAGCAGUAAGGAAUAUUGGUCAAUGGGCGGAAGCCUGAACCAGCCAUGCCGCGUGCAGGAAGACGGCCCUACGGGUUGUAAACUGCUUUUAUACGGGAAUAAACCCAGAUACGUGUAUCUGGCUGAAUGUACUGUAAGAAUAAGGAUCGGCUAACUCCGUG